UUUUGUUUGUCAGAAGCAAGCAGCCAGGGAAUGGGUGAACUUUUACCUGGACCUCACAAGAGGAGAAAGCUCUCUUUUCAAAAUCUGAUAACUCUGCAGAAGAAAACAGAGAUAUUUUCUUUCUUUAUAGGUUGACCUAUGGACCCUGCCAAAAAAAAUUUUCCAUGUGAACUUGAGUUUGCAAGGCCCUUUUUUCAGUCCUGAAAACUCUGCGUUCUGAAAAAGGACAUCUGUGAUAAGAUGGAACUUGGCACCAGUAACUCAUGUUCUAUGCGUGAAGCAUGCUCAGAAGAGGCAGACCCAGAGGUAAUCCUGAAUCUUGUAAAUGGCUCCAGGUGUUUCUGAAGAACUGCAUGUGAUUUGUCAGGAAGCUCCUGGUUCUCAGUCGUUUUGCCACGAAUGAAGCCCAACAUUUCUGAGUCAGUUACUCAGGAGUUAUCACCGGAGCCUAGUGAAGAAAGGAAAAGCUUUUAUGGAACUUUAUCACAGGAUAUAACUAGUCAAGGACACAGAAAGUGCUGCGGAGGCCACCAACAGAUGACAGGAGUGUGAGAACCUAUGCUCUAGAAGAGGAUUAUGUUCCUUUUGCUUUUAAUAAUGGUCACGUCCUGAACCAGUGAUUGAGCACCUGGUGAAGGGGUGUAUCCAGCCCUGGGAGCGCAGGUGGAAGCAAUCUACACCAUUUAAGGGAUGGCAGCCACAAGAGAAGCUUUUCCACUUGGAGAGAACCUCGUUUGGAGUGUUUGGUGAGCCCUGAUCCCUGGAAAAAGUUUUAUUUUUAGAGGCAAUCAAAACUCUUCUGAGAAAUCCUUCACACUCAAGAAAUGUGGCCAGAACUGCAAGCUAACUCAAGUUCCCUAUAGGUAACAGGGAUUUCUCUGCUGAUGACACCUCAACACAUAACAUUUCUGGAUCUCUUUUCUGGCCAGAAGUAACACCAGACUGAGACAGCAGCUGGGAAAAAAAGCUCUGAGGUUUGGCUCACAGGAACGCAUAGGGACUGUAAACUUUUAGUGAAGGCUUCUGUGGAUUUACUCAUAAGUGUUGUCGGCCUGGAGUUUUGUGGCUCUACAAGACAGAUCUACAGCUUUGGGAUUGCUUUAUAGGCUGAGUUUUCCAUUCUGGCCUACGGCUAUAUGUGACAAGGAGCUACAAACCUGAUGCGAGAGAUCUGAAUAAACAGCAGGCCUUUCUUUUGAUUAAUUUGUGCUAGAAAUAUAGUGAAAUUAAUUGUAUUUUCUUCCCCUGCCUGUAUGGAAUUUCCCCUUACUGUCACUGGCUGCUAUUAGGAAGUGCACAUUCAUGCAAUAAUUUACAACCAACAACAAAACAAGAAGAGACUUAGGAAAAAGUACAAGCAUGUUUUAACCCCUUUUUUCUUUCUUUUCUUUUUCCCUUGAGAUUUAGUCGUUCUCUCUAACCUGUGCUUAAUUUAGAACCGUUCUUAACUUUAUGUAAACCAAUUCACUCACUUGUCCUCGGUCUCCCCAUCAUUAAAAUAGUGGUGAUAAAUCUGAUGUAUGAGGUGCAGUGAUACACUGAAUAAAGCUAUACUGCUUCUCACUGAGCAGAAUCGUCAACAUAAAAGCAGGAAGGAGACAAAUUACUUUUUAAGGUCUUGCUUACCUCAGAAUGAAUGAGAAGAAAUGGGGGUAUACACACCCAGCUCAUUAUUGGCCUGCGAGUAUGUGGCAGCAUCAGAUGUAGGCACAGGGAUGCAGCAAAAUAAACAAUAGCAGAAUUUGCAAGGUCUUGGGCUCGAGCAGUCCACUUGGCUGAAUCAACUGUGUCUGUAGGUGGAGAGUAGUACCAUUAUAUCACUUGGACUUUUAUUAUAUUCCAUAUUUCCCAUGACUGGUAAGCUCACCCUUUCCCUAUGGGUUAAUGAUGCUGUAAACAAGAAUAGCAGAGGAGCAGCCAACAAAGCAAAAGAGUAAAUGCUGGUCUGAGUGAACUGCUCUUGAGAAGGCUGAGUUAAAUCAAAGACCCACCGCAGUGUGCUUUGAAGGGGUUUUACAUACAGAAGUCAUAGAGACAAUUCACAGGAGUGAAGAGAGGAAUUUUCGUGAGUGCAGGCCAAGCACAGAACCCUGCCAUCUCCUUCUGAUGUGUGACCACAGGCAAAAUAGUCAAGGCCUGACAGACAACUGGGCCAUUCUGAUCUUUAUGAUGUCAGGUUCAUAACAACACUAUGGGACUUUCCAAAGGCAUUAAGGACUUAGUAAGACACAGAUGGCAAGAUGGGGGCUUUCUUGACCUCUCUUUGUCAGCAUUUUGUGUGGGUGUGAAAAGUUGUAUGACCCUUAGCUUAACUCUCACAGUCUGGCUGUAACCCAUUUUUUGCGUGGCUCUGACCUGUGAUGGUGUGCUAACCUCAUAGUCACAGUGAGCAGAAUGAAUACCUGAACCUAGAAGCCUAUUCAAGUAUAUGCAGCCUUCUAUACUCUGUGGACAGGUCUGCAGAUCUCACAGAUGGCAGUGUUUAUCGCUCUGCCUUUGGCACCUGAAAAAGCAGCACAGCAGGUACCGUCAGGGUUCACCCAUAAACUGAUGGCUUUACUAUGUAUUUUAAAAAGCAACCAUAUUUUUAAUGUAUCGAAGGUCCAUUAAUAGCAACAUACUUUAUGAAACCAUUUCCACCAUAACAUUUGUGUUUUCUGUUUCAUGGAAAGC
Non-coding RNA from Coturnix japonica (Japanese quail), 2673 nucleotides. The record is from RefSeq and is a predicted model, not a curated record. Lineage: Eukaryota; Metazoa; Chordata; Aves; Galliformes; Phasianidae.